Molecule: long non-coding RNA, 442 nt
Organism: Pteropus alecto (black flying fox)
Lineage: Eukaryota; Metazoa; Chordata; Mammalia; Chiroptera; Pteropodidae
Exons: 2
Source: RefSeq, a predicted model, not a curated record
GUAGAAGAUUUGAACAACUUAAAAAUAUCUUUAAAAGGCUUUUCCCAUACAGUGCACGUAGCUAAGAGGGUCUUUUCAAGGGGGUGGUGCCUCAGUGAGGAAAAGGAGAAAAAUGGAAGUGUCUUCUGGGAAUUGUAGUUUUCCACUGCUCUCUCUGCGCUAGGACUACUUGUCCCAAGAUGCAGUUCCACACCCUCAGGUUCCCUAGUUACUAUCUCCAAGGCCUGGAGUUGGGGCUUGGAGAAAGGGAUAAGGUGAGGAAGGGGGCCGGGCGAAGCGGAGUAAUGGUUUUGGGAAACGUGGAAACGACUCGGAAAUAACUAGGAGGAAAGGGCUUAUCAAAGUUUUGAUUUUGUUGCAAAAGCUAGUCAAGACCUAACUUUUCUCUGGUGAACAAAUAUGUCUGUUCAAGAAAUAAAUAAACAUGCAGUUCUCCCUCCUA